Molecule: ribosomal RNA, 1363 nt
Filed under: uncultured bacterium
Lineage: Bacteria
Description: bacterial SSU rRNA
Rfam family: Bacterial small subunit ribosomal RNA
Source: RNAcentral
AUUGCACUCUGGCGGCAGGCCUAACACAUGCAAGUCGAACGGUAACAGGAAACAGCUUGCUGUUUCGCUGACGAGUGGCGGACGGGUGAGUAAUGUCUGGGAAACUGCCUGAUGGAGGGGGAUAACUACUGGAAACGGUAGCUAAUACCGCAUAACGUCGCAAGACCAAAGAGGGGGACCUUCGGGCCUCUUGCCAUCAGAUGUGCCCAGAUGGGAUUAGCUAGUAGGUGGGGUAACGGCUCACCUAGGCGACGAUCCCUAGCUGGUCUGAGAGGAUGACCAGCCACACUGGAACUGAGACACGGUCCAGACUCCUACGGGAGGCAGCAGUGGGGAAUAUUGCACAAUGGGCGCAAACCUGAUGCAGCCAUGCCGCGUGUAUGAAGAAGGCCUUCGGGUUGUAAAGUACUUUCAGCGGGGAGGAAGGGAGUAAAGUUAAUACCUUUGCUCAUUGACGUUACCCGCAGAAGAAGCACCGGCUAACUCCGUGCCAGCAGCCGCGGUAAUACGGAGGGUGCAAGCGUUAAUCGGAAUUACUGGGCGUAAAGCGCACGCAGGCGGUUUGUUAAGUCAGAUGUGAAAUCCCCGGGCUCAACCUGGGAACUGCAUCUGAUACUGGCAAGCUUGAGUCUCGUAGAGGGGGGUAGAAUUCCAGGUGUAGCGGUGAAAUGCGUAGAGAUCUGGAGGAAUACCGGUGGCGAAGGCGGCCCCCUGGACGAAGACUGACGCUCAGGUGCGAAAGCGUGGGGAGCAGACAGGAUUAGAUACCCUGGUAGUCCACGCCGUAAACGAUGUCGACUUGGAGGUUGUGCCCUUGAGGCGUGGCUUCCGGAGCUAACGCGUUAAGUCGACCGCCUGGGGAGUACGGCCGCAAGGUUAAAACUCAAAUGAAUUGACGGGGGCCCGCACAAGCGGUGGAGCAUGUGGUUUAAUUCGAUGCAACGCGAAGAACCUUACCUGGUCUUGACAUCCACGGAAGUUUUCAGAGAUGAGAAUGUGCCUUCGGGAACCGUGAGACAGGUGCUGCAUGGCUGUCGUCAGCUCGUGUUGUGAAAUGUUGGGUUAAGUCCCGCAACGAGCGCAACCCUUAUCCUUUGUUGCCAGCGGUCCGGCCGGGAACUCAAAGGAGACUGCCAGUGAUAAACUGGAGGAAGGUGGGGAUGACGUCGAGUCACCAUGGCCCUUACGACCAGGGCUACACACGUGCUACAAUGGCGCAUACAAAGAGAAGCGACCUCGCGAGAGCAAGCGGACCUCAUAAAGUGCGUCGUAGUCCGGAUUGGAGUCUGCAACUCGACUCCAUGAAGUCGGAAUCGCUAGUAAUCGUGGAUCAGAAUGCCACGGUGAAUACGUUCCCGGGCCU